This 469-nucleotide ribosomal RNA is filed under the name uncultured bacterium. Its description in RNAcentral is "partial 16S ribosomal RNA". It matches the Rfam family "Bacterial small subunit ribosomal RNA", at positions 28 to 507 of the family's 1533-position model. The record is from RNAcentral.
GGCGAACGCUGGCGGCGUGCUUAACACAUGCAAGUCGAACGGAAAGGCCCUGCUUGCAGGGUGCUCGAGUGGCGAACGGGUGAGUAACACGUGGGUGAUCUGCCCCUUACUUUGGGAUAAGCCUGGGAAACUGGGUCUAAUACUGGAUAGGACCAUGCUGUAGGUGGUGUGGUGGAAAGAUUAGUUUCGGUAAGGGAUGGGCUCGCGGCCUAUCAGCUUGUUGGUGGGGUAAUGGCCUACCAAGGCGUCGACGGGUAGCCGGCCUGAGAGGGUGGACGGCCACAUUGGGACUGAGAUACGGCCCAGACUCCUACGGGAGGCAGCAGUGGGGAAUAUUGCACAAUGGGCGCAAGCCUGAUGCAGCGACGCCGCGUGGGGGAUGACGGCCUUCGGGUUGUAAACUCCUUUCAGCCAUGACGAAGCCCUUGUGGUGACGGUAGUGGUAGAAGAAGCACCGGCUAACUACGUG